Molecule: long non-coding RNA, 377 nt
Filed under: Monodelphis domestica (gray short-tailed opossum)
Lineage: Eukaryota; Metazoa; Chordata; Mammalia; Didelphimorphia; Didelphidae
Description: lncRNA (ENSMODG00000046938.1)
Source: RNAcentral
AAAGUAAUAGAAAACAGAGGGAGGGAAUGGAAGAGAAAGCGCAUUUGGAAGACGGGCAAUAGAAGACAAUUCGACAUCAAUUAUAUAUGUGCCACUCCUGAUGUCUGGAAGACCCACCUCUUGAUCAGAGCGAGGUCAGAGUCCUUCAGUUGGAGAAGCUUUGAAAGGAACAUCCUAAGAAGCAUAAAAGUGAAUCACGAGAGGAAGAGAAGUCUUUAUUUCUGGGAACUGGGAGUGAGAAGGAUGUUUGAACAGAGCUCCUGGGCUUGGAGGAGACUUGUGAAGGGAAAGCUGGCAACCUCUGCCUGGUGCCUUUUCCUUCUCUGCCUGCUUUUUGUUAUUUAAUAAAUAAUUAAAAAUUAAGCUACAGUCUCCAG